This 228-nucleotide ribosomal RNA is filed under the name uncultured Actinomycetales bacterium. Its description in RNAcentral is "partial 16S ribosomal RNA". It matches the Rfam family "Bacterial small subunit ribosomal RNA", at positions 105 to 334 of the family's 1533-position model. The record is from RNAcentral. Lineage: Bacteria; Bacillati; Actinomycetota; Actinomycetes; Actinomycetales.
GGUGAGUAACACGUGAGUAACCUGCCCUUGACUUUGGGAUAACUUCAGGAAACUGGGGCUAAUACCGGAUAGGAGCUCCUGCUGCAUGGUGGGGGUUGGAAAGUUUCGGCGGUUGGGGAUGGACUCGCGGCUUAUCAGCUUGUUGGUGGGGUAGUGGCUUACCAAGGCUUUGACGGGUAGCCGGCCUGAGAGGGUGACCGGCCACAUUGGGGCUGAGAUACGGCCCAG